RNAcentral lists this ribosomal RNA (100 nucleotides) under uncultured bacterium. Its description in RNAcentral is "partial 16S ribosomal RNA". The record is from RNAcentral.
CUUAGGAUUGUAAACUUCUGUUAAGUGGGAAGAAAUAUUCCGUUGUAAUAUAGCGGAAAGAUGACGGUACCAUUAGAGAAAGCACCGGCUAACUUCGUGC